This 2479-nucleotide ribosomal RNA is filed under the name Staphylococcus aureus UCIM6014. Its description in RNAcentral is "bacterial LSU rRNA". It matches the Rfam family "Bacterial large subunit ribosomal RNA", at positions 439 to 2925 of the family's 2925-position model. RNAcentral also lists the same sequence under 2 other names. The record is from RNAcentral. Lineage: Bacteria; Bacillati; Bacillota; Bacilli; Caryophanales; Staphylococcaceae.
GGAAUCUGGGAGGACCAUCUCCUAAGGCUAAAUACUCUCUAGUGACCGAUAGUGAACCAGUACCGUGAGGGAAAGGUGAAAAGCACCCCGGAAGGGGAGUGAAAUAGAACCUGAAACCGUGUGCUUACAAGUAGUCAGAGCCCGUUAAUGGGUGAUGGCGUGCCUUUUGUAGAAUGAACCGGCGAGUUACGAUUUGAUGCAAGGUUAAGCAGUAAAUGUGGAGCCGUAGCGAAAGCGAGUCUGAAUAGGGCGUUUAGUAUUUGGUCGUAGACCCGAAACCAGGUGAUCUACCCUUGGUCAGGUUGAAGUUCAGGUAACACUGAAUGGAGGACCGAACCGACUUACGUUGAAAAGUGAGCGGAUGAACUGAGGGUAGCGGAGAAAUUCCAAUCGAACCUGGAGAUAGCUGGUUCUCUCCGAAAUAGCUUUAGGGCUAGCCUCAAGUGAUGAUUAUUGGAGGUAGAGCACUGUUUGGACGAGGGGCCCCUCUCGGGUUACCGAAUUCAGACAAACUCCGAAUGCCAAUUAAUUUAACUUGGGAGUCAGAACAUGGGUGAUAAGGUCCGUGUUCGAAAGGGAAACAGCCCAGACCACCAGCUAAGGUCCCAAAAUAUAUGUUAAGUGGAAAAGGAUGUGGCGUUGCCCAGACAACUAGGAUGUUGGCUUAGAAGCAGCCAUCAUUUAAAGAGUGCGUAAUAGCUCACUAGUCGAGUGACACUGCGCCGAAAAUGUACCGGGGCUAAACAUAUUACCGAAGCUGUGGAUUGUCCUUUGGACAAUGGUAGGAGAGCGUUCUAAGGGCGUUGAAGCAUGAUCGUAAGGACAUGUGGAGCGCUUAGAAGUGAGAAUGCCGGUGUGAGUAGCGAAAGACGGGUGAGAAUCCCGUCCACCGAUUGACUAAGGUUUCCAGAGGAAGGCUCGUCCGCUCUGGGUUAGUCGGGUCCUAAGCUGAGGCCGACAGGCGUAGGCGAUGGAUAACAGGUUGAUAUUCCUGUACCACCUAUAAUCGUUUUAAUCGAUGGGGGGACGCAGUAGGAUAGGCGAAGCGUGCGAUUGGAUUGCACGUCUAAGCAGUAAGGCUGAGUAUUAGGCAAAUCCGGUACUCGUUAAGGCUGAGCUGUGAUGGGGAGAAGACAUUGAGUCUUCGAGUCGUUGAUUUCACACUGCCGAGAAAAGCCUCUAGAUAGAAAAUAGGUGCCCGUACCGCAAACCGACACAGGUAGUCAAGAUGAGAAUUCUAAGGUGAGCGAGCGAACUCUCGUUAAGGAACUCGGCAAAAUGACCCCGUAACUUCGGGAGAAGGGGUGCUCUUUAGGGUUAACGCCCAGAAGAGCCGCAGUGAAUAGGCCCAAGCGACUGUUUAUCAAAAACACAGGUCUCUGCUAAACCGUAAGGUGAUGUAUAGGGGCUGACGCCUGCCCGGUGCUGGAAGGUUAAGAGGAGUGGUUAGCUUCUGCGAAGCUACGAAUCGAAGCCCCAGUAAACGGCGGCCGUAACUAUAACGGUCCUAAGGUAGCGAAAUUCCUUGUCGGGUAAGUUCCGACCCGCACGAAAGGCGUAACGAUUUGGGCACUGUCUCAACGAGAGACUCGGUGAAAUCAUAGUACCUGUGAAGAUGCAGGUUACCCGCGACAGGACGGAAAGACCCCGUGGAGCUUUACUGUAGCCUGAUAUUGAAAUUCGGCACAGCUUGUACAGGAUAGGUAGGAGCCUUUGAAACGUGAGCGCUAGCUUACGUGGAGGCGCUGGUGGGAUACUACCCUAGCUGUGUUGGCUUUCUAACCCGCACCACUUAUCGUGGUGGGAGACAGUGUCAAGCGGGCAGUUUGACUGGGGCGGUCGCCUCCUAAAAGGUAACGGAGGCGCUCAAAGGUUCCCUCAGAAUGGUUGGAAAUCAUUCAUAGAGUGCAAAGGCAUAAGGGAGCUUGACUGCGAGACCUACAAGUCGAGCAGGGUCGAAAGACGGACUUAGUGAUCCGGUGGUUCCGCAUGGAAGGGCCAUCGCUCAACGGAUAAAAGCUACCCCGGGGAUAACAGGCUUAUCUCCCCCAAGAGUUCACAUCGACGGGGAGGUUUGGCACCUCGAUGUCGGCUCAUCGCAUCCUGGGGCUGUAGUCGGUCCCAAGGGUUGGGCUGUUCGCCCAUUAAAGCGGUACGCGAGCUGGGUUCAGAACGUCGUGAGACAGUUCGGUCCCUAUCCGUCGUGGGCGUAGGAAAUUUGAGAGGAGCUGUCCUUAGUACGAGAGGACCGGGAUGGACAUACCUCUGGUGUACCAGUUGUCGUGCCAACGGCAUAGCUGGGUAGCUAUGUGUGGACGGGAUAAGUGCUGAAAGCAUCUAAGCAUGAAGCCCCCCUCAAGAUGAGAUUUCCCAACUUCGGUUAUAAGAUCCCUCAAAGAUGAUGAGGUUAAUAGGUUCGAGGUGGAAGCAUGGUGACAUGUGGAGCUGACGAAUACUAAUCGAUCGAAGACUUAAUCAA